GAUGAACGCUGGCGGCGUGCCUAAUACAUGCAAGUCGAGCGAACGGACGAGAAGCUUGCUUCUCUGAUGUUAGCGGCGGACGGGUGAGUAACACGUGGAUAACCUACCUAUAAGACUGGGAUAACUUCGGGAAACCGGAGCUAAUACCGGAUAAUAUUUUGAACCGCAUGGUUCAAAAGUGAAAGACGGUCUUGCUGUCACCUAUAGAUGGAUCCGCGCUGCAUUAGCUAGUUGGUAAGGUAACGGCUUACCAAGGCAACGAUGCAUAGCCGACCUGAGAGGGUGAUCGGCCACCCUGGAACUGAGACACGGUCCAGACUCCUACGGGAGGCAGCAGUAGGGAAUCUUCCGCAAUGGGCGAAAGCCUGACGGAGCAACGCCGCGUGAGUGAUGAAGGUCUUCGGAUCGUAAAACUCUGUUAUUAGGGAAGAACAUAUGUGUAAGUAACUGUGCACAUCUUGACGGUACCUAAUCAGAAAGCCACGGCUAACUACGUG
RNAcentral lists this ribosomal RNA (497 nucleotides) under uncultured bacterium. Its description in RNAcentral is "partial 16S ribosomal RNA". It matches the Rfam family "Bacterial small subunit ribosomal RNA", at positions 28 to 507 of the family's 1533-position model. The record is from RNAcentral.